Molecule: non-coding RNA, 902 nt
Organism: Podarcis muralis (Common wall lizard)
Lineage: Eukaryota; Metazoa; Chordata; Lepidosauria; Squamata; Lacertidae
Source: RefSeq, a predicted model, not a curated record
AAAUAUUUUAUUGGGGAGGGCAAGGCCCCCUAGGCCCCUAGGAGUUGGCUUCUAUGCACAGGACCAUUAAAAAUAUUGUAACAGGAAAUGUACAGGAAAUCAUAAGCUUCCUGAAACAUUGGAGCUGAGAUGGAGGUAUGAGGCACCCUGAUAGUUAUCUUUCCUUCUCCUUACACCUGAGCCCACGGCCAAUAGUUGUCAAUACGUAUUAGAGGACUUUUUAGUUUGGAUUAUGCAUACUUGUUUUCCUUCUACAGGGUUGGUGAACCUGUGACUCUUCAGUUGCUGUUGAACUAUGACUCCCAUAAUCCUUGACUUCUGGCCAUGCUGCCUAAGACUUAGGGGGCACUGAGCCCAACAACAUGUGGAGGGCCACAACUUCCCAGCCCUUGCCAUCCUGGUUUCUGUGCCUGUCUUAAGCAGCUGCUAUAUAUAACUGAAAUCAUACACACAACUGUUACUGAAAAUUGUGGACGGCGAGAACCAGAAACAAAAGCACAAUUAUUAACAGACUCGAAGAAGAUCCAGCUACAUCACAAGCCUCCCACGAGCCAGACGCUAAAGGGAGAGACCAGAAACAAAGGUGCAGAGCAACUUUAAGUAAAUGCCGUCAUUUGCCCAGGAUCAGACUAUUCCCAUGCAUUUAUUUCCACCACAUUGCAAAGCCAGAAUCAUGCAGGAAUCGUUUGCUGUCCAUUUCCUGAAGGUGCUGAAGGAACUCCUAGCUUUUGUGCUGUUCAGUUACACAGUGCUGUUAGGGGCGCUGCUCUUGGCUGGCUGGACCACUUAUUUCCUGGUGCUUAAGUGACAGCUCAUGUUUUCCACCAGCAGCUUACAGAUGGAGCCCAGAUGCACUGUCUAUCCAACACCCAAUCAAUAAACACAAUUCCAUUUCUAUUCUA